RNAcentral lists this ribosomal RNA (253 nucleotides) under uncultured bacterium. RNAcentral's name for it is "partial 16S ribosomal RNA". It matches the Rfam family "Bacterial small subunit ribosomal RNA", at positions 524 to 776 of the family's 1533-position model. The record is from RNAcentral.
UACGUAGGGUGCAAGCGUUGUCCGGAAUUAUUGGGCGUAAAGGGCUCGUAGGCGGUCCAUCGCGUCGGGAGUGAAAAGCUGGGGCUUAACCCCAGUCCUGCUUCCGAUACGGGUGGACUAGAGGUAGGCAGGGGAGAACGGAAUUCCUGGUGUAGCGGUGAAAUGCGUAGAUAUCAGGAAGAACACCAGUGGCGAAGGCGCUCUACUGGGCCGUAACUGACACUGAGGGACGAAAGCUAGGGGAGCGAACAGG